This 253-nucleotide ribosomal RNA is filed under the name uncultured bacterium. Its description in RNAcentral is "partial 16S ribosomal RNA". It matches the Rfam family "Bacterial small subunit ribosomal RNA", at positions 524 to 776 of the family's 1533-position model. The record is from RNAcentral.
UACGUAGGGUGCAAGCGUUGUCCGGAAUUAUUGGGCGUAAAGAGCUCGUAGGCGGUUUGUCGCGUCUGCCGUGAAAACCCGAGGCUCAACCUCGGGUCUGCAGUCGAUACGAGCAAACUAGAGUGUUGCAGGGGAGACUGGAAUUCCUGGUGUAGCGGUGAAAUGCGCAGAUAUCAGGAGGAACACCGGUGGCGAAGGCGGGUCUCUGGGCAACAACUGACGCUGAGGAGCGAAAGCGUGGGGAGCGAACAGG